Molecule: ribosomal RNA, 468 nt
Filed under: uncultured bacterium
Lineage: Bacteria
Description: partial 16S ribosomal RNA
Rfam family: Bacterial small subunit ribosomal RNA
Source: RNAcentral
GACGAACGCUGGCGGCGUGCUUAACACAUGCAAGUCGAACGGAAAGGCCCUGCUUUUGUGGGGUGCUCGAGUGGCGAACGGGUGAGUAACACGUGAGUAACCUGCCCUUGACUUUGGGAUAACUUCAGGAAACUGGGGCUAAUACCGGAUAGGAGCUCCUGCUGCAUGGUGGGGGUUGGAAAGUUUCGGCGGUUGGGGAUGGACUCGCGGCUUAUCAGCUUGUUGGUGGGGUAGUGGCUUACCAAGGCUUUGACGGGUAGCCGGCCUGAGAGGGUGACCGGCCACAUUGGGACUGAGAUACGGCGCAGACUCCUACGGGAGGCAGCAGUGGGGAAUAUUGCACAAUGGGCGGAAGCCUGAUGCAGCAACGCCGCGUGCGGGAUGACGGCCUUCGGGUUGUAAACCGCUUUCGCCUGUGAUGAAGCGUGAGUGACGGUAAUGGGUAAAGAAGCACCGGCUAACUACGUG